Molecule: ribosomal RNA, 460 nt
Filed under: uncultured bacterium
Lineage: Bacteria
Description: partial 16S ribosomal RNA
Rfam family: Bacterial small subunit ribosomal RNA
Source: RNAcentral
CCUACGGGAGGCUGCAGUGAGGAAUAUUGGUCAAUGGACGCAAGUCUGAACCAGCCAAGCCGCGUGCAGGAAGACGGUGCUAUGAGUUGUAAACUUCUUUUGUACGAGGGUAAACGCAGAUACGCGUAUCUGUCUGAAAGUAUCGUAAGAAUAAGCAUCGGCUAACUCCGUGCCAGCAGCCGCGGUAAUACGGAGGAUUCAAGCGUUAUCCGGAUUUAUUGGGUUUAAAGGGUGCGUAGGCGGUCUGUUAAGUUAGCGGUGAAAUCCCGGGGCUCAACCUCGGAAUUGCGUUUGAUACUGGUCGGCUAGAGAGGAGUUGAGGUAGGCGGAAUGUAUGGUGUAGCGGUGAAAUGCUUAGAGAUCACACAGAACACCGAUUGCGAAGGCAGCUUACCAGGCUAGUUCUGACGUUGAGGCACGAAAGCGUGGGGAGUAAACAGGAUUAGAUACCCUUGUAGUC